GAUAGUGAACCAGUACCGUGAGGGAAAGGCGAAAAGAACCCCGGGAGGGGAGUGAAGAAGAACCUGAAACCGUGUACGUACAAGCAGUGGGAGCCUGAAAGGGUGACUGCGUACCUUUUGUAUAAUGGGUCAGCGACUUAUAUUUUGUAGCGAGGUUAACUGAAUAAGGGAGCCGAAGGGAAACCGAGUCUUAACUGGGCGCUAAGUUGCAAGAUAUAGACCCGAAACCCGGUGAUCUAGCCAUGGGCAGGAAGAAGGUUGGGUAACACUAACUGGAGGACCGAACCGACUACUGUUGAAAAAGUAGCGGAUGACCUGUGGCUGGGGGUGAAAGGCCAAUCAAACCGGGAGAUAGCUGGUUCUCCCCGAAAUCUAUUUAGGUAGAGCCUUAUAUGAAUACCUUCGGGGGUAGAGCACUGUUUCGGCUAGGGGUCCAUCCCGGAUUACCAACCCGAUGCAAACUGCGAAUACCGAAGAGUAAUGUAUAGGAGACACACGGCGGGUGCUAACGUUCGUCGUGGAGAGGGAAACAACCCAGACCGCCAGCUAAGGUCCCAAAGUCUAUAUUAAGUGGGAAACGAAGUGGAAAGGCUUAGACAGCUAGGAUGUUGGCUUAGAAGCAGCCACCAUUUAAAGAAAGCGUAAUAGCUCACUAGUCGAGUCGGUCUGCGCGGAAGAUGUAACGGGGCUAAAAUAUAGCACCGAAGCUGCGGCAUCAAGAGAAAUCUUGUUGGGUAGGGGAGCGUUGUGUAAGCUGAAGAAGGUGGUUCGAGAGGGCUGCUGGAGGUAUCACAAGUGCGAAUGCUGACAUAAGUAACGAUAAAGCGGGUGAAAGACCCGCUCGCCGGAAGACCAAGGUUUCCUGUCCAACGUUAAUCGGGGCAGGGUGAGUCGGCCCCUAAGGCGAGGCUGAGAAGCGUAGUCGAUGGGAAAUGGGUUAAUAUUCCCAUACUUGGAUAAACUGCGAUGUGGGGACGGAGCAGGUUAGGUUAGCGUACGGAUGGAAGAGUACGUUUAAGUUAGUAGGUGGGUGAGUUAGGCAAAUCCGGCUCACCAUUAACACUGAGAGAUGAUGACGAGGCACCAAGGUGCUGAAGUAACUGAUACCCAACUUCCAGGAAAAGCCACUAAGCGAAAGGUUUAUCUAAACCGUACUGGAAACCGACACAGGUGGUCAGGUAGAGAAUACUAAGGCGCUUGAGAGAACUCGGGUGAAGGAACUAGGCAAAAUAGCACCGUAACUUCGGGAGAAGGUGCGCUGGCGUAGUGUGAAGUCCGAAGCGGAUGGAGCAUGAACCAGUCGAAGCGACGAGCUGGCUGCAACUGUUUAAUAAAAACACAGCACUCUGCAAACACGAAAGUGGACGUAUAGGGUGUGAUGCCUGCCCGGUGCUGGAAGGUUAAUUGAUGGUGUCAUCGAAAGAGAAGCACCUGAUCGAAGCCCCAGUAAACGGCGGCCGUAACUAUAACGGUCCUAAGGUAGCGAAAUUCCUUGUCGGGUAAGUUCCGACCUGCACGAAUGGCAUAAUGAUGGCCAGGCUGUCUCCACCCGAGACUCAGUGAAAUUGAAAUCGCCGUGAAGAUGCGGUGUACCCGCGGCUAGACGGAAAGACCCCGUGAACCUUUACUAUAGCUUGACACUGAACCUUGAAUUUUAAUGUGUAGGAUAGGUGGGAGACUGCGAAGCGGUAACGCCAGUUAUCGUGGAGUCGCUGUUGAAAUACCACCCUUUAACGUUUGAUGUUCUAACGAAGCGCUCGGGACGAGUGUUCGGACAGUGUCUGGUGGGUAGUUUGACUGGGGCGGUCUCCUCCCAAAGCGUAACGGAGGAGCACGAAGGUUGGCUAAUGACGGUCGGACAUCGUCAGGUUAGUGCAAUGGUAGAAGCCAGCUUAACUGCGAGACGGACAAGUCGAGCAGGUACGAAAGUAGGUCAUAGUGAUCCGGUGGUUCUGAAUGGAAGGGCCAUCGCUCAACGGAUAAAAGGUACUCCGGGGAUAACAGGCUGAUACCGCCCAAGAGUUCAUAUCGACGGCGGUGUUUGGCACCUCGAUGUCGGCUCAUCACAUCCUGGGGCUGAAGUAGGUCCCAAGGGUAUGGCUGUUCGCCAUUUAAAGUGGUACGCGAGCUGGGUUUAGAACGUCGUGAGACAGUUCGGUCCCUAUCUGCCGUGGGCGUUGGAGAAUUGAGGGGGGUUGCUCCUAGUACGAGAGGACCGGAGUGAACGCAUCACUGGUGUUCCAGUUGUUUCGCCAGA
RNAcentral lists this ribosomal RNA (2257 nucleotides) under Gallibacterium genomosp. 1. RNAcentral describes it as "bacterial LSU rRNA". It matches the Rfam family "Bacterial large subunit ribosomal RNA", at positions 486 to 2733 of the family's 2925-position model. Lineage: Bacteria; Pseudomonadati; Pseudomonadota; Gammaproteobacteria; Pasteurellales; Pasteurellaceae. The record is from RNAcentral.